AUUCUACUCCCUGCCUUGCACAAUACAUGCCUUCUAUUUGUCAAAAUAGAUAUGUAUCUAGACAUGUUUUAGUAUAUAGGUACAUCCAUUUUUGGACAAAUGGAAGUCAAGUAUUUUGGAACGGAGGGAGUACACA
Molecule: non-coding RNA, 136 nt
Organism: Triticum aestivum (bread wheat)
Lineage: Eukaryota; Viridiplantae; Streptophyta; Magnoliopsida; Poales; Poaceae
Source: Rfam